AUUUAUAUAGUUUAAUAAAACAUUACAUUUUCAUUGUAAAAUUAGAUUUAUUUAUCUUAUAAAUA
RNAcentral lists this transfer RNA (65 nucleotides) under Medon piceus. RNAcentral's name for it is "tRNA-Glu". Lineage: Eukaryota; Metazoa; Arthropoda; Insecta; Coleoptera; Staphylinidae. The record is from RNAcentral.